GACAGAGGUGCCGAGCGUUAGGCGGAAUCACUGGGCUUAAAGCGUGUGUAGUCGGGAUUGUAAGUACCUUGUGAAAUCCCACGGCUUAACCGUGGAACUGCUUGGUAUACUGCGAUUCUUGAGCCACUUAGGGGCUACCGGAACAAAUGGUGGAGCGGUGAAAUGCGUAGAUAUCUGGAGGAACACCGGUGGCGAAGGCGGCAUCCUGGACCGGUAUUGACGCUGAGGCGCGAAAGCUAGGGGAGCAAACGGG
This 253-nucleotide ribosomal RNA is filed under the name uncultured bacterium. Its description in RNAcentral is "partial 16S ribosomal RNA". It matches the Rfam family "Bacterial small subunit ribosomal RNA", at positions 524 to 776 of the family's 1533-position model. The record is from RNAcentral.